Molecule: ribosomal RNA, 253 nt
Filed under: uncultured bacterium
Lineage: Bacteria
Description: partial 16S ribosomal RNA
Rfam family: Bacterial small subunit ribosomal RNA
Source: RNAcentral
UACGGAGGGAGCUAGCGUUGUUCGGAAUUACUGGGCGUAAAGCGUACGUAGGCGGUUAUUCAAGUCAGAGGUGAAAGCCCGGGGCUCAACCCCGGAACGGCCUUUGAAACUAGAUAGCUAGAGUCUUGGAGAGGUUAGUGGAAUUCCGAGUGUAGAGGUGAAAUUCGUAGAUAUUCGGAAGAACACCAGUGGCGAAGGCGACUAACUGGACAGAUACUGACGCUGAGACACGAAAGCGUGGGGAGCAAACAGG